UUGUAUUUGUGUCGUUCCCUCUUGUUCUCUGUUCUCUGGUCCAGUUCUGCUCUUCCUGUUCUCACCAAACUUUCUAACCACAUGGUGAGUUUCAUUGUACUCAGAACGAUCUCACUGAAAUGCUACUUUUCAGAUUGUGUCUUAAAUCAAGUGGAGGACGAGACGAGCGAUGCCGACGAGAUCAGCAGAAGACCAGAAGAGGAGAAGCUGAGAGGUCGGCGUGUUUGACCCGAAGAAGGAACAGAAGUUCUUGUUCCAGGUGUGUGCGAAAGCUGUGAUGAGGAUGAGUUGGAUGAGGAUGAAGGCAAAUCCUCCCACCACACCGACGUAGUGCCAGGCUGAGAGAGAGAGAGGCGGGAGAAAAAAAAAAAAAGAAGAACCAUGAUCCAUCGUUUGAUUUAUCUCAGGGAAGUGAGGAGGCACAAACAGAGCGAGAGAGAGAGAGAAGCAGGAGAGGACGAGCUGUAAAUCACAGAGCGGCUGUGAUAUCAGCAGGGAGACGACCUGAGGCGAGCGGUCAGGAGCGGAUCUCUGCUGCCCUCUGGCAGGAGGAGGAAGGAGGUGCUACACCAGCCACAACAUCAGCAUCAUCAUCAUCACCAUCAUCAUCAUCAGCAUCAUCACAUUCAGGAGCCAGUUUCUCACCGUGGAGGAAGGACUCUGUGGGGAUGAAGAAGGCAGCGGUGCACAUCCCGAGCAGAGUGAUUAACUUCAGGAACCAGAAGCUGCAGGUCGACAUGAGGAGAGAUGAAAGAUGUCACAGUUCAGUUUAAAAAAGUCUAAAAACAAAAACUUAAACUAAUAUCUUCUCUCUCGAAUUUGCAUUAAUUUAUUAUCUCUUGUGUUCUUGUUCUGCUUCUUCUUUCCAUGCACAAACAUCUGUGGGUAUCCCAUCUUCAACUGCACAUUUCCUUGUUUUAUAAUCAUCUUUUUAAAAAGUGCAAUGAGCAAUUUCAUGUCUGAAACCACAUCAAUCACUGUUCCCAGAACACCAUGACAGCAGAAUCCCAGCGACAGGUGGACCAGAGAUUUAGAAAAUAACGACAACAACAAAAAUUCGAAGACUGAGUUUUCUGCAUUCUGGUGACAUUUAAAGAAUGAAAAUAACAAGAUGUGUUUUCAUGUCAUUCCCAUCAUUCAGUGGGUCGGUGAUGAGUUGUUGAAAAUCAGUGAAAUGAAACUCAACAAUCAACAGCUGUACGCUGCAUUCACUUGCUCCUCGGACAAUCCCACUUCACGAGGUCAGAAGUCGUUCCUCUGGCUCCGGUGUGUUCAUAUAUGUCAAGUCGCAAUGUGGAAGCAGUACCGAAGAAAUUUAGCAUUUUAUCGUGCAGUUUGUUUCAGAAAAACACUAACAGCUGUUUCUGGGAUUUGACAGGGACAUGUUACCGUCAGCCCAAUUUUACUUUCAUCCGCCAUCUUUCAGCGUAACAUGACAUCAACUCGUGAACUGAGAUUUUUCUCAGACUUUCCUAUUUGUUGAAUUUGCCCUGUCGUUUUCCUGAUUGUUGCAAUGCCACGUAAACAUACUGUUACCUAUUGUAUCCUUUAAACGUUGAAAGGUUUAAAGUUUCUGAGUGCAACACAACUGUUGGAAAAUCAAAUCCCAGGUGUGC
Molecule: long non-coding RNA, 1616 nt
Organism: Acanthopagrus latus (yellowfin seabream)
Lineage: Eukaryota; Metazoa; Chordata; Actinopteri; Spariformes; Sparidae
Exons: 3
Source: RefSeq, a predicted model, not a curated record